This 249-nucleotide unclassified non-coding RNA is filed under the name Basidiomycota sp. RNAcentral describes it as "partial contains small subunit ribosomal RNA, internal transcribed spacer 1, and 5.8S ribosomal RNA". The stretch from base 1 to 47 matches the Rfam family "Eukaryotic small subunit ribosomal RNA", at positions 1785 to 1831 of the family's 1831-position model. Lineage: Eukaryota; Fungi; Basidiomycota. The record is from RNAcentral.
AAAGUCGUAACAAGGUUUCCGUAGGUGAACCUGCGGAAGGAUCAUUACAAAUCCACACGUCUCUCUUUUGAGACCACGUUGAAACGUUCCCCAGCCAGGUGCGCGCGCUCCCUCACAGGACGCAAACAACUGUCUGGGCUUUUAAACUAGUGUUCCCUGUUGCUCAAUUGUAUGAUUGUCUUGACGCCCUUGCGGCUAAAGAUGAAUAACAACAAAGUACAACUUAUAACAAUGGAUCUCUAGGCUCUU